RNA transcript from Prunus dulcis (almond), 1114 nucleotides. It is a transcript of the gene named cyclin-J18, with no coding region annotated. Lineage: Eukaryota; Viridiplantae; Streptophyta; Magnoliopsida; Rosales; Rosaceae. The record is from RefSeq and is a predicted model, not a curated record. The transcript is spliced from 10 exons.
CAAUUUCAAAAAAUGGCGGCUUGAUUGAUUCAACAAAGCCAAAGCCACAUUUCAAAUUUUAAAUUCCAAAUUCCAGAGGCUUAGAGAUGCAGCGAGGGUGCGCUUCGUCGGCUCUGCCUCUGCGAGCGCGCCUCAUAGACUUUCUCAUCCAAUCUGCUCACAAACUCCAAGUUGCUCCGACCGUGAAAUAUACCGCAUUGUCAAUUUUUGCUCAUAGAUUCUACCCUCGUUGUUUGUCCAGAUUGGAGGAACAAGGCAAUGACGUGGAAAACUGGCUUUUGCAACCCCUGAGAGAGAGCAAUUUGCAGUUGUUUGCGCUCGUUUCUCUAUGGAUUUCAACCAAAAUACACACUUCUCCUUGUUUGUCUGUGAAAAUAUUCAAGUCUUUGGGGGACAACAUUAUCAAGGAACAACACUACACCAUUCGAGAUUACUUGGAAGCAGAGGUGGUCUUAAUGCAGGUAGUGAAUUUUGAGAUUGGUAUGAACAAUAGUGCUUUUGUAUACUUUGAGGAGCUUUUACUUCAAUUCAAGGGAGUGGCAAAGGUUGGGGAACUUGUGAACUUUGAAGCAGGCAUGGACAUCAUGGAUCUGAUUUAUGAAAAGGAGGAGACAUCCAUGCUCUAUACUAAUCCUCAUUCUCUUGCCGCAUCAAUCUUGGUUGCUUCAUAUGUCAUCACAGUUCCUAAACAGACGUGGGAAUUUCCUGUUGUUCCCUGGGUUAAGUUCGUAACAGGUUGCGAAGAAGAGGAUAUUCUAGAUAUAGUCAGAGACAUUCUUAAGCAUGUAUUGGAUGUUUCUUGCUAGAUAUAAGUUCCUCUCUCAAUGUCAAGGCUGAGAAGAGGGCAACGUGUCUGGUUUUGUACAUCAAAUAGGAUUUCACCUGCGUGAGUUGAGCCCUACACAAGUGACGGAUGCACUUUAUGCUGCUGUUGCAGAUGCAGUUAUAUAUAACAGCUUCCCUGCAGCCAAAUUCGAAUAAUGACAAUAAUUUCCGCUUGGAGGUUGACAUUAUGAAACAUUGGAUGUCAUAUAUACCUAUUCAUGAUCGAAAUUCGCACAAUUAACAAUCAUGCUUGUACGAAUCUCAACCUUAAAAUGAUGGUUCAUUUUAA